ACAACAUUUGGACCAUCGGUCAAUAUUACGCGCAAUAUUACCCGGUCGGUGGAAGAUCUUCCCUUUGUCGU
This 71-nucleotide microRNA precursor is filed under the name Bombyx mori (domestic silkworm). RNAcentral's name for it is "mir-2774 microRNA precursor family". It matches the Rfam family "mir-2774 microRNA precursor family". Lineage: Eukaryota; Metazoa; Arthropoda; Insecta; Lepidoptera; Bombycidae. The record is from Rfam by way of RNAcentral.